RNAcentral lists this ribosomal RNA (497 nucleotides) under uncultured bacterium. RNAcentral describes it as "partial 16S ribosomal RNA". It matches the Rfam family "Bacterial small subunit ribosomal RNA", at positions 28 to 507 of the family's 1533-position model. The record is from RNAcentral.
GCUGAACGCUUUCUUCUUUCCUAAUACAUGCAAGUCGAGCGAACAGACGAGGAGCUUGCUCCUCUGACGUUAGCGGCGGACGGGUGAGUAACACGUGGAUAACCUACCUAUAAGACUGGGAUAACUUCGGGAAACCGGAGCUAAUACCGGAUAAUAUAUUGAACCGCAUGGUUCAAUAGUGAAAGACGGUUUUGCUGUCACUUAUAGAUGGAUCCGCGCCGCAUUAGCUAGUUGGUAAGGUAACGGCUUACCAAGGCAACGAUGCGUAGCCGACCUGAGAGGGUGAUCGGCCACACUGGAACUGAGACACGGUCCAGACUCCUACGGGAGGCAGCAGUAGGGAAUCUUCCGCAAAGGGCGAAAGCCUGACGGAGCAACGCCGCGUGAGUGAUGAAGGUCUUCGGAUCGUAAAACUCUGUUAUUAGGGAAGAACAAAUGUGUAAGUAACUAUGCACGUCUUGACGGUACCUAAUCAGAAAGCCACGGCUAACUACGUG